Motacilla alba alba is the source of this 2547-nucleotide long non-coding RNA. RefSeq lists it as uncharacterized. The record is from RefSeq and is a predicted model, not a curated record. Lineage: Eukaryota; Metazoa; Chordata; Aves; Passeriformes; Motacillidae. The transcript is spliced from 3 exons.
GUGGCGGCGGGGGGAUGAGGAGGCAGGGCGGGAUGAAGGGCACUGCCGUGCACUCUCUCGUGCAUGGCUGGGACUGCAGGGGUGCCAUCGGCCCCCAUAAACACAGGAGCUGCUUUUGGCGACGGCUGCAGGGAGGAGGAACGGCUUCCAUGUCCUGGGAUCGCCUCCCUAGGUGCCCAUGUACCUGUGCAGAGGGGUGGCUGCUGCUCCGGGAGCGCCUGGGCUGACCUGUCAGGGUUCUGUUCUCCGGGCAGAUGUGACCGUGGAAUUUGCUGUUUGGGCAGAAGCUGCCCCUCAGCCCCGCGGCUGGCAGCUGUGCUGGAGGUGCCCUGCAGCAGGUUAGAGGGGUGUGGGGAAAGAUCGUGGCAUAGGCCAGGAAUCUGAGCAGGAAUCAGGGGGUUACACGCCUGCGAUUGGACAGCCACUCUUUUCCUGAGUGUUACAGGGGACGAUGAAGGUGAACACCCAGGAUUUGCACACCCUCUUUUUCGUACGGUCACAAUUUGCAGUCUAGUGUGCUUGUAGCAGCUCACAGCCCCCAAAGCCCAUGAGAACCGAAUCCUUUGCACUUGGGAGCCUGACUGAGCGGCGAGCUUGGAGUGAUGGCCAUCCUGCUCCCAAAUAUCUGCACCCCCGUGCAGGCGGCACUGCUCUGCGCUGCCCAGCAGCCCGGAGAGGGGCCGGUGGUGAGGGAUUUGGAAAGACAACACCCCCAGGGUUCGCCUUCCUGCCCUGCUUUAAAUGAUUUUUGAGCACAAAUUGCUUUUUUUCCCCUCAGUGUAAUAACCAGAAGACCCAGCCACGAGCCUCACAGCCUGGUCGGCAGAGAUAAGGCAGAGUUGCUCCUCCGGCUUGGAUGUGCCUGGGGAGGAUGGUGGGGUCUGGAAGAGGUGCUCCCCGCAGGAGCAGGGCUGCACACCCCUGGGGCUGCUCGGGGGGUACAGGAGACCCUCAGCCCGCCCCGGGGAGCGGCUCAGAGAAAGCAGAGAGUGCCAGAGCCCCCCGGCCCCGGCUCCAGCGCUGCCUGCGGCUCGUUCGCGGGCUCGCUCUCGCCUUUCAGCUUCGGCUGAAACGAUUUGCAGCUCAAACGCCCCCCUGAGAGCCGCUAACCUUUGGAUAAGGUUUGGCACCAUUAUCCUGCUUGGGUUAAUUGGGAGUUAGGGAGAGCCCAGGAGUGACGCGGCUGCCUCCGUCCGUCCGUCCGUCCGUCCGUCCAUCCACCCGCCCCUCCAGCCUUCCCCGGCGCGCUGCGGGCAGCGAUGCGGAGAGAAGCGGAGCCGCUGCUACAGAAAAUCUUCUUCUCCCUCUCCUGGAAACGGUGCGGAACGAGCCGGCGUCCCGGAGGCAGGGGGAGCCGGGAUUUUUUUUUCUCUCAGAGACGUCUCCCGAGCCCGACACAUCCAUGACAUUCUCGAUGCUCAACGAAGAGCCAAAAGCCAAUUUCCUCCACCCUUGGCGUGAUCGUAGAAAGGCUUGGGUUGGAAGGGACCGUAAAUGUCAGCUGAGUGGCUCCCAGAGGAGCUCCCUCCACUCCCUGGCAUCGAGGGCUGCCGGCCGGGGGUGCGGGGUGAUGCCCAGUGGGACCAUUGCGGGUCUCCCAGCCGAAGUUUGGGGGUACCGGGGCAGGGGCACGGAUGCGCCAGGGCUUUUUGAGGAGAUAAUCACGCACCAGACAGAGGUUUGGAUGCGUUUUCGUUCCUUCUUCCCUGAUGCCCCCUGCAGCCUCCGGAAACAGAGCUCCUUCACGUCUUCUUUCAUAACGAACUCGUCUUAGGAUGAAUAAAAAUAAAUAAUGUUAAUAAAAAAGAAAAAUAAAUCGUUGAAUCAAUCCCUCACGGUGUCCGUGGUAGCACUGGUUUUCCGGGGCUGUGAAGAGGCGAAGCGGCGGCCGAGGGCAGCGGUGCCGGCCCGAGCUUUUCCAUUUCCCCGUUAAAUCCCUGCCCGUCAAGACGCUGCUAAACCCGGGCGCAGCCGUGCCCCGCUCGGCUUUCGCGACCUAUCUGUGCACUCACAUGUAAUAAUUCCCACGCAAAGCCAAGGAUGCGCCACGCUCAGUCGCCCUCCUCCUCCGCUGCCAUCAAAAAAAAAAAAACCACCCAUUUUUGGGGGGCGCCCGUAGAAGCAGCUCGUUCAUCCCCGCGCCGGGAUCAGCGGCACAGGGACCCGUUAGGGGUACAGCCCUCACCGGGGAUAUUUUAGUUUUAUUCUGGUUUUUUGCGCCCUUCAGCCUCUUAACACCGAAUUUGCUUUUAGAUUGUGGCUGGGGAAAAAAAUAAAAAGGUUUUUAAGGAGGUGAUUUAAGUUGUUGUUUUUUUUUUUUUUUUUUCCUAGGAAUUGGAUUUUUUUCCCCCAUCUCUGCUCAGUACCGCAUCCCACCUGCAACCGCAGCCUGGGCGCUCCCUCCCUACUCCCUCAACAACGAUACUAGGAAAUAAUUUAGCGGUGGCUUUUCCUCCCAUCUGCCGUAAAACAAUGUUCUUUUUUUUGUCUUCCAAGACAGCAAAUGAAACAGAAAUCCCUCCCUUUCCCGCCUUUCAAAGAACAUAC